RNAcentral lists this ribosomal RNA (1023 nucleotides) under Raffaelea crossotarsa. RNAcentral describes it as "SSU rRNA". It matches the Rfam family "Eukaryotic small subunit ribosomal RNA", at positions 77 to 1109 of the family's 1831-position model. The record is from RNAcentral. Lineage: Eukaryota; Fungi; Ascomycota; Sordariomycetes; Ophiostomatales; Ophiostomataceae.
UACUGCGAAACUGCGAAUGGCUCAUUAAAUCAGUUAUCGUCUAUUUGAUAGUACCUUACUACUUGGAUAACCGUGGUAAUUCUAGAGCUAAUACAUGCUGAAAACCCCGACUUCGGAAGGGAUGUAUUUAUUAGAUUAAAAACCAAUGCCCUCCGGGGCUCCCUGGUGAUUCAUGAUAACUUCUCGAAUCGCACGGCCUUGCGCCGGCGAUGGUUCAUUCAAAUUUCUGCCCUAUCAACUUUCGACGGCUGGGUCUUGGCCAGCCGUGGUGACAACGGGUAACGGAGGGUUAGGGCUCGACCCCGGAGAAGGAGCCUGAGAAACGGCUACUACAUCCAAGGAAGGCAGCAGGCGCGCAAAUUACCCAAUCCCGACACGGGGAGGUAGUGACAAUAAAUACUGAUACAGGGCUCUUUUGGGUCUUGUAAUUGGAAUGAGUACAAUUUAAUUCCCUUAACGAGGAACAAUUGGAGGGCAAGUCUGGUGCCAGCAGCCGCGGUAAUUCCAGCUCCAAUAGCGUAUAUUAAAGUUGUUGCAGUUAAAAAGCUCGUAGUUGAACCUUGGGCCUGGCUGGCCGGUCCGCCUCACCGCGUGCACUGGUCCGGCCGGGCCUUUCCCUCUGGGGAGCCGCAUGCCCUUCACUGGGCGUGCCGGGGAACCAGGACGUUUACUUUGAAAAAAUUAGAGUGUUCAAAGCAGGCUUAUGCUCGGAUACAUUAGCAUGGAAUAAUAGAAUAGGACGCGUGGUUCUAUUUUGUUGGUUUCUAGGACCGCCGUAAUGAUUAAUAGGGACAGUCGGGGGCAUCAGUAUUCAGCUGUCAGAGGUGAAAUUCUUGGAUUUGCUGAAGACUAACUACUGCGAAAGCAUUUGCCAAGGAUGUUUUCAUUAAUCAGGAACGAAAGUUAGGGGAUCGAAGACGAUCAGAUACCGUCGUAGUCUUAACCAUAAACUAUGCCGACUAGGGAUCGGACGGUGUUAUUCUUUGACCCGUUCGGCACCUUACACGAAAGUACAAGUUUCUG